UUUUAUCAGAGAGUUUGAUCCUGGCUCAGGAUGAACGCUGGCGGCGUGCUUAACACAUGCAAGUCGAGCGAAGCAGUUAAGAAGAUUCUUCGGAUGAUU
Molecule: ribosomal RNA, 99 nt
Filed under: Blautia sp. AF34-10
Lineage: Bacteria; Bacillati; Bacillota; Clostridia; Lachnospirales; Lachnospiraceae
Description: partial 16S ribosomal RNA
Rfam family: Bacterial small subunit ribosomal RNA
Source: RNAcentral